Non-coding RNA from Erythranthe guttata (spotted monkey flower), 364 nucleotides. The record is from RefSeq and is a predicted model, not a curated record. Lineage: Eukaryota; Viridiplantae; Streptophyta; Magnoliopsida; Lamiales; Phrymaceae.
CUCUCCUCCGUUGAACAAAAUGAAAUCUCAUCUCUGCUCUUCCUCACACGGCGAAUAACAACCACCAUCCACCGCCAACAUGUUCCUCAACCACCACCAGUCGCUCCAUCGGUUUAGUGGACUGAGAGGGGAAAAAAUUACCUACACAUGGGGAACACAUAAAGCAAUAAUAUGGUACUUUCAGCGAUGAUCCAAGGAGCAAAUAGAUCCCCGAUGUUUUCAUGAAAAAAUAUAUAAAGUCAAUGAGUGUUGACGAUGACAAAGAAGUUGUUACUCGUUACUGGUAGAGCUUCAGUAAUAUUAUGAAGGAUCUUGGGUACAUGUAUUAUAUGUAAGUAAGGUUUAUGUGUAUCAACAGUGGAGA